Molecule: RNA transcript, 657 nt
Organism: Sipha flava (yellow sugarcane aphid)
Lineage: Eukaryota; Metazoa; Arthropoda; Insecta; Hemiptera; Aphididae
Exons: 2
Source: RefSeq, a predicted model, not a curated record
AUAAAAAUAUUAUCCAGAAAAAUUGUUAAAGAUGGGGACUGACUCGGGGAGACUGAAACACUAUAGUUGUACAUACAAUCAUAGGCGGUCCUACGAGUGCAACCUCUGCAGCCUGUGCUACAUCUGACAUUUCAACCGCCACAUUUUUUUUUAUUGUAUAUCAUUACACAACACGCAGUGGAGUAAAGUAAGAUUUAACCAAGAAUCAUUACAAAUUGUCGAUUCAAUUGGAAUUAUGGUGAAAUUAGAAACUGGUGAAAAUAUAUCAUAUAAAUGUUUAAAAGAACAAUUUGAUAUAUGUGAAGAUGAUUUGUGCACAGAAAUAAAAUUAUUACAAAAUAUGCCAGAUAUUCCAAAUGGUACUUCACUUCAAACAAUUCAUGAAUGGUUAGAUUGGUUGCAAGAUUCUAAUAAAAUUGAAAUUUUUUCAAACUUUUCUAAAGCUACACAAUUAUUUGUAACUAUACCUGUUACAAGUUGCAGUUGUGAACGCAGCUGCUCGAAAAUGACUAUUCUUAAAAAUAAACUUCGAACAACAAUGACCCAAAAAGAUUGGAUUCACUGAUGUUAUUAUUUGUUGAACAGCAUAAAACAAACAAUGUGGAUAUUGAUAAGGUCAUCGACGAAUUUAAAAUACUAAAUGGCAUAACACGUAGA